This 253-nucleotide ribosomal RNA is filed under the name uncultured bacterium. RNAcentral describes it as "partial 16S ribosomal RNA". It matches the Rfam family "Bacterial small subunit ribosomal RNA", at positions 524 to 776 of the family's 1533-position model. The record is from RNAcentral.
UACAGAGGGGGCAAGCGUUGUCCGGAUUUACUGGGCGUAAAGGGUACGUAGGCGGCACGCUAGGUGGGGUGUGACAUUUCCGUGCUUAACACGGAAGGGCCGCCCCAAACCAGUGAGCUUGAGUUGUACAGAUGUUGGUGGAAUUGCCAGUGUAGCAGUGAAAUGCGUAGAGAUUGGCAGGAACACCAAGGGCGAAAGCAGCCAACAGGGUACACACUGACGCUGAGGUACGACAGCGUGGGGAGCGAACAGG